This 483-nucleotide long non-coding RNA is filed under the name Linum usitatissimum (flax). Its description in RNAcentral is "long non-coding RNA (LUSI_LNC001715)". The record is from RNAcentral. Lineage: Eukaryota; Viridiplantae; Streptophyta; Magnoliopsida; Malpighiales; Linaceae.
CAUUUUCUUAUAACUCCAGUUCGACGACACAGACAGAAGUCUUAUUGCUGAUAGGAAGGUACAUCUAUCCUUUCUGAUGGCUUUUAUUAUUUGAUACUUUCAAUCCAUUUCGAUGAUGAACUAAAUUUAAUCAUUUUUGUUUAAGUGUGUCAUAAUAUUGUUCGUUGAGGACCCCAGAAAUGGAAUCAAUGACGGAAGGAGGAACAAAAGAAGAAACAACAGAGAAGAAAAGACAAGGAAACGAGCAAGGAACCCCACCAUUUUCCCUAUCUGCAAAUCCCAUUUUAAUGUGGGGAAGGAGUCUGCAGUUGUGGAAAAUGCUUAAUAGUUUGACCAGAUCAAAAUUCUACACAAAAUGGUUUAAUCUUCAUGGAAGAGGGUUCUUCUUUUAACAUGCAAAUAGCUAACUCCCUGCAUAUAAAUAAUCAUUUGAAAAUAUUUAUGCAGCAACUCAUUGAUAAAGGUGACCAAGGUGAGGCUGGA